This is a long non-coding RNA of Diabrotica virgifera virgifera (western corn rootworm), 864 nucleotides long. RefSeq lists it as uncharacterized. The transcript has 3 exons. The record is from RefSeq and is a predicted model, not a curated record. Lineage: Eukaryota; Metazoa; Arthropoda; Insecta; Coleoptera; Chrysomelidae.
UAUUUGGUUAUAUUUACCAAAUUUAAAUAUAAUCGUUUUCAAAAUUAAAUCCAUAUGUCAAUAUGGCUACUGGGUGUAAAAGAUAAAUCUUAUUCUAUCUGUUCUUAAUGAGUUUUAGAUAAUUUUAGUUGUAUUUCUUUGUAAUUUUGUGUUGUACAAAGAUUAAUUUAACAUUUUCUCUGGAAGUAUUAAUUUAGAAAGAUAAUAUGCUUCAUUGGUGUUGUGUUUUGAAGUGUGAAAUGCAAAGUAAUUGUGAUAAAGUCAAGAUAAAGUUCACUUUUAAACUGAACUAAAUAAGGUAUCUGAGAGACAACAAUGGUUAAAUGCAAUACAAUGUACAGGUUUUACUAGCGAAAUGAAAAUUUUCCUGUCCUGUCUGCUGUAAUCAUUUUAUAUCUGGAAAACCAGCCGACUUAAUCGAUAAUAACAAUCUCCAGAUUGGGUUCCUUCAAUAAAUAUGGUCUAUAAACACAAUGAAAUAAGUUCCCCAAAAUCUAAAAUGAAGUGGUAUCAAAGGAGAAUUAAAGGGAAAAAUAUUCAUAUUGAAAUUAUUUAUAAGGCACUGGACUGUCUUAAAUUCUACAAUAAUACUAGAAUCAGCUGAGAGAAGUGGUCUACAAAAAACCAGGAAGGAAACAGAAUAUGUGGCUACGAAAGGCAAAAGAAAGGUUUACAAAGCAAAUGUGACACAUUUUUUGAAAUAUUUAGGAAUAUCAGUAAAUUGCAUUAAAAAAAUGUAUGAAAAGAUUUUGUUCAAUAAAAAUGUUUAUAUUUAUCAAGGAUGUAUUAUUUGGUAUGGCCACAUAUCGUCAGUGAUGUAAUAAUACAUCCUAUCUGUUUUUUCAUGAGUUUUGUAAGAGAGAC